GUGGCCUGUCGAUAAAAUUAUUUUAUGUUUCUUGUUGCGAUCAUUGACAUCGAUAAUCUGAUAUAGAUCCCUUUUUCAUUGGUGUGAUUUCGGCAGAAAAUGAGGAGAAACUAUCUAAUCGUAAAGACACAUUCUUUUGGCAAGAGGUUCUUUUGGGAUUUCGUUAAAAUCGAUAUAGCCCCAAAUGCUUGAACUAUUUUCUUUCAUUGAUUCCUACAUUAUGAUGUAGUGUCUAUUUUUUUUUAAACUAGUACAUGUACACGGUUAGUUUGAAGUUUGAAAUAAAAG
RNAcentral lists this long non-coding RNA (288 nucleotides) under Mytilus galloprovincialis (Mediterranean mussel). The record is from RNAcentral. Lineage: Eukaryota; Metazoa; Mollusca; Bivalvia; Mytilida; Mytilidae.